CACAGAGUCCAGACAGGUUUGAAGGAUGGGCUAACUGUACCCACAGUGGAAUUUCACAAGCCUAAAUGUCAGGCCCUGGACAAGGCCCUGCCACACCAAAGGCUCCAGGGAAUGGCCAGGAGAUGUGUGUGACUCAGUAGCCACCUUGACAGAGAAGCCAAAGGCAGCUGGUGACUCAGCACAGGGAGCGCCUGCCAAAAGGCUAGGGGUCCUCGACCACUGACAAGGCCAGAGUCCGGACCUGGGGCAGCCACCCAGCUCCAGCCAGGCUCCCGGGGUCAGCCUGUGUGCAGUUCUCAGCCCUACACUGUGGAUGCGGCCAUACUAAUGUCUGCUGAAUGCUGAUACCUAUCGGGCCAGGCUCUGCUGCAACUACACCCUCAAGGAGCUGAUGGGGAACGUCAGCCCUCCCUUUUACAGGUAAGGAAACCAAGCUCAGGGAAACUUGCCUCAGCUCCUAGCUAAAAAGUGCCAAGGACUAGCUCCAGACCAGGUCCAGUGUAAUACUGAGCAGCAGGCCCCUCAGCACCAGGCCAGCUCUGCUAGCUGAAGGACAGCAUCAAAAUGGAACAAGUUCAAAGAAAACAAAAAGGAGACUGUAGCCAGGCUCUGGGACACUAGUCUGGGGACACAGCUGCUCACAGAUGAGGACCCGAGCCAAACAAGCUGCACAUGCACUAUCCCCUUGCUGUGGCCACCUCACAGGAGCCGUUCCACACCUAUGCACCGGACAGCAGGUGGAGGGUACCGUCUCUCAUGGAAUUGCCUGCCAUGGUCUCUGCCUGGGACCUGGGCAUUCCCGAGACCGAGCCCAUGCGCCCAACCUGGCUUGUGGGAGUGCUCCUCCUUGGAGCUCAGGCAAACCUGACUUCCUUCCACCCACCGUCUCUAUUGUGGGCAGCGGCUAUUCAACACCCUGAGACCCACAGCCACCUGGCCCAGAGGGUGGCUGCAGCUGAAUUCAGCCAGAGGACCCAUGGGUAAAUAAGAAAGCAAGCUGUGACCCUUGAGACCCAAAGGCUGUGAAAUGGACCCAGAAGCGCUGAUCUGAUCUUCGAGGAGGCUGGGAAAGCAGGGAGCAGAGGUCAAUCUGCGCUACACACCGCUGGCUCUGGGGGUCAUAGCAGCUCCCGGAGGGCACAGCUAUUCCCGGGGUGCUGGGCAGCCACCUCCAGCAACAUUCAGGGCUGGAGCGUUGGGGAAAGGAAGGAACAAUCCCUGCUCAGCAUUUUCCCAUCCUGCCCCUCACUGGAGACAGUCCAGGGGAAAAAAGAACAGAUGCCCAGGCAGGGCCUAGGACUCCUUCCAUGCCCAGGGCCAGGGUGCCAGGGAUGAAAUCCUUUCCCUACUCUCUGCAUGCCCCAUAUAAGACAGAAGACUUUUGCUAAGCCCCUCCUGUGUUCCUGACAUGGACAAAUAAGUGCCAAGAUAAAUACCAAGGAGCGCAAGUGCCAGGCAUGGCCGGCUAGGAGGAGAGCCUGUGUCGGGAGAAAGCCUGCUCCGUUCCCUCUGGGCCUUGGAGUGUUGCCCGAAUGACUUCUCGCCUCAAGGCUUCUAUUUUCGAAGGUGUGCUCUUUCUCCACACCGGACCUCUCCCUGGAAGGCCUUCCUCCUGCUGUGGCACAUCCUCGAGGUGCAUCCGUGCGUCCUUCAGGCUCUGUUACACUCUGCUGGGGGCUCUGUAUCCCCCUUGUGCAGCACAGAACCUUGCUCUGUUUCCAUCCCCUGCUACACUGAAGGUCUCUACACAGGCUCGGAGCUCACCUACCAGCCAGCUCAUUUCACGCCAUUCUCUACACAAACCUCAGCAAAGUAAGUGGGUCCCUGUUCUUCACAUUCCACCUCGCCAAGCUAAACUGAGCAAGGACAGCUGAGACUUCCCAAUCAAGGCGAUGGGCUUCGUUACACCCCAGAUGGGCCUGCAUCCCCAGUGCUGGAGCACUGAGGAACCAGAAGCUCACGGAAGUAUCAUGUAUGUGUUCCCGUUUAGAUUCCACUGUUGUGAACACAAGGAUGCCUGUGCUUUCUGCUCUGCUGAGACCACAUGGGCCAAUGACAAUACCCACCCCGUGCCCUGGUGGUCAUCCAGGGCACACAUAGGACCCAGCCAGGACAGACAAAGCUUCCAUGGGACUUUUUUAUCUCAAACUGCAGGAAGAAACUUUUGUUCUCUCUGAUCAUAAACUAUAGAAAUAUAAGUCUGAACUAUACAUAUAUCACUGCAUACUAUCUAUGUAUAAGAUACAGUUCAUGAACCUUAAAGGACCCUACAAGGUGGGAGAUCAUCCUGGAGCUUUGGUGAUCAUGCAGCUCAGCAUGUAGGAAGCUCAUGAAGAUGAACAGAGAGUAAGAUCCGCAGGCUGUAAGGCAGUGGCCACAGAUGGACACAGAAGCUGGCAGUACCAGAGGCUGAGACUGGCUCUGUACACAGCUGACCCGUCCUUGCUUAUCUCAGCCAUAAAAUCCCCUUUCUGGCUUGAGCUGUGCUGUGUUUAGAUUUCUUUUACUUUAACCUACUAACCAACAACAAGUUACAACAUUUUAUAUUUUACUUACACCCACUAUGCCCCUCCAAAGGUUUAAAAUUAACACACCUUGUAAGCCUUAUACUCUUGGGGUUAAGAUUUAUUACUACACUCAAGAUAAUCUCUCAGGAUAUUUUUCUGAGUUAAGCAGAUGAAGUACAAUGCAUCAGUCUUGGAGAUAAUGUAACUGAGACCUGAGAAGUACAGGGACUUGGAACACACAGCUAGGGAACACCAUAGCCUGGACUGGAAUUUCCAUGCCUACAUUUCCUCUCUGUUCUGCUAAUAAGCCAGGGCCACAAACACUAAGAGAAAGACAGUUUGGCUAGCUGGGGUCAUAAGAUUCCUUGGACUUCCUCCUGUGGGUAACUACACCUUUCUAAGAAGCACAUCUUCCUAGUAUAGUAUGUUCAUCUUUCCAAUGCCUUAACAAAUUCCCAAGAUAUAUUGACUUACAAGGAGACUCAUGGUUCUGAGGUUUCAGUCCAUGGUCUCUCGACUGCACUGUGUUGAGCCUGGGACAGACAGAACAUCGUGCCAGGAGCCUAGGGUAGGGUAGACCUACACACUCAUGGCAUCUGGGAAGCAAAAAGAAAGGGAAUGGACCAGGAUCCCAGUUUUCCCUUCAAAGUCAUCCCCCCAGUGUCCUAACUCCUUCCACUAGGCCCCAUCUCCAAAGAGUUCCACCACCUUCCAAUACACUCACAGACUGGGGACCAAGCUUGGACAGGGACAUCCCAUGGGCCAAAUGGGGACCUAAGAGGACAUUCGAGACCCAAACCAUAGCAUCUCGAGGUGAAAGUUAGAGAUCAUCAUGGAGUUUGAGGGCUUUGUCCAGGUCCAAAUAACAUGUUUAAUGUUAAGGAGAUACCAGGCAGGGUGCUCCAGGUCCCCUGAAGGAGUGUUGGAAGGCUCCACUGCCACGAAGAGGGAAGAGGAUGUGAGAGUUCUGCUUUCAUCAGCUGAGAUGUAAAAGGAAGAUGGGAAGUUGGAAACCACCUCGGUAAAGCCAGGCAGAACCAGGUUCAAAUGUGGUUUGGAACAGCUAUGAAUUAACAUCUUGGGAAAGUUACCGAGUCUUUUAUUCUCUGUUUCUUCAUGUGUAAGAUGAAGAUAAUAACACCUUCUUUCAAAAUAUGCGUGUGGAGAGUGCAUAUAAAAAAGCACUCAACGGUGCUUGCUUGGCACAGGGCAGUUGCUGCAUAAACCCUUCUUCCCCCUUACUUCCCUCUCCCUUGCUCUCUGUCCUCUGUGAUGGGAAUCCAGCAGGAAACACCUGUGCAGCCCAAGGCAGGUUGGUGCACAAUGCACUGUGACUCAGCAGGGGACCCCAUCUCCAGCUGGCCCCUAGUGGCCUCCCCCUUGCCUUUCUCCUGCUGGUCCACACCACCCAGUUCUUUGUCCUUUUUUGGCCGGUUCUCACCCUCCUGACUGCACCUGCCUCUCAGCACAUUCCUAAGCAGAAUGCUCUCCUGGACAGAGUGUCUGCCACCUAGGUUUCCCUGAAAGAGUCCAGUAGCAACUCUUCUGUAGAUAAUAUUAUCUGUUCCAAUAGACAAAAGGGGCGGAAGCAAAAAGGAGGGUGGGGGAGGGUCUCCAGGACGGAGAAAAGAAGAGAGGAAAUAUAAUAGACUUAUUGUUUCAAG
This is a long non-coding RNA of Heterocephalus glaber (naked mole-rat), 4171 nucleotides long. The record is from Ensembl. Lineage: Eukaryota; Metazoa; Chordata; Mammalia; Rodentia; Bathyergidae.